This 380-nucleotide ribosomal RNA is filed under the name uncultured bacterium. RNAcentral describes it as "partial 16S ribosomal RNA". It matches the Rfam family "Bacterial small subunit ribosomal RNA", at positions 338 to 734 of the family's 1533-position model. The record is from RNAcentral.
CCUACGGGCGGCAGCAGUGGGGAAUAUUGCACAAUGGGGGAAACCCUGAUGCAGCAACGCCGCGUGAAUGAAGAAGGUUUUCGGAUUGUAAACUUCUGUUCUUAGUGAAGAAGAAUGUCGGUAGCUAAAGAGCAAGCCACGGCUAACUACGUGCCAGCAGCCGCGGUAAUACGUAGGGGGCAAGCGUUGUCCGGAAUUACUGGGUGUAAAGGGAGCGCAGGCGGGCAGCCAAGUCAGCUGUGAAAACUACGGGCUUAACUUGGAGACUGCAGUUGAAACUGGUUUUCUUGAGUGAAGUAGAGGUUGGCGGAAUUCCGGGUGUAGCGAUGAAAUGCGUAGAUAUUCGGAGGAACACCGGUGGCGAAGGCGGCCCACUGGGC